GACGAACGCUGGCGGCGUGCUUAACACAUGCAAGUCGAGCGGAAAGGCCCUUCGGGGUACUCGAGCGGCGAACGGGUGAGUAACACGUGAGAAACCUGCCCUGGACUUUGGGAUAACCCUCGGAAACGGGGGCGUAAUACCGGAUAUGACAUUCGACCGCAUGGUUGUUUGUGGAAAGUUUUCGGUUCGUGGGAUGGUCUCGCGGCCUAUCAGCUUGUUGGUGGGGUAAGUGGCCUACCAAGGCGACGACGGGUAGCCGGCCUGAGAGGGC
RNAcentral lists this ribosomal RNA (271 nucleotides) under uncultured bacterium. Its description in RNAcentral is "partial 16S ribosomal RNA". It matches the Rfam family "Bacterial small subunit ribosomal RNA", at positions 28 to 301 of the family's 1533-position model. The record is from RNAcentral.